This 635-nucleotide ribosomal RNA is filed under the name uncultured Actinomycetes bacterium. Its description in RNAcentral is "bacterial SSU rRNA". It matches the Rfam family "Bacterial small subunit ribosomal RNA", at positions 234 to 885 of the family's 1533-position model. Lineage: Bacteria; Bacillati; Actinomycetota; Actinomycetes. The record is from RNAcentral.
CGCCUGGGGAGUACGGGUGAGGUAACGGCUCACCAAGGCAUCGACGGGUAGCUGGUCUGAGAGGAUGAUCAGCCACACUGGGACUGAGACACGGCCCAGACUCCUACGGGAGGCAGCAGUAGGGAAUAUUGCACAAUGGGCGAAAGCCUGAUGCAGCAACGCCGCGUGCGGGAAGAAGGCCCUAGGGUUGUAAACCGCUUUCAGCAGGGAAGAAAAUGACGGUACCUGCAGAAGAAGGUGCGGCCAACCACGUGCCAGCAGCCGCGGUGACACGUAGGCACCAAGCGUUGUCCGGAUUUAUUGGGCGUAAAGAGCUCGUAGGCGGUUCAGUUAGUCGGGUGUGAAAACUCUGGGCUCAACCUAGAGACGCCACUCGAUACUGCUGUGACUAGAGUGCGGUAGGGGAGCGGGGAAUUCCUAGUGUAGCGGUGAAAUGCGCAGAUAUUAGGAGGAACACCAGUGGCGAAGGCGCCGCUCUGGGCCGUAACUGACGCUGAGGAGCGAAAGCGUGGGUAGCAAACAGGAUUAGAUACCCUGGUAGUCCACGCCGUAAACGUUGGGCACUAGGUGUGGGUCUCAACCAACGAGAUCCGCGCCGUCGCUAACGCAUUAAGUGCCCCGCCUGGGGAGUACGG